AGCGAACGCUGGCGGCAGGCCUAACACAUGCAAGUCGAACGGAUCCUUCGGGAUUAGUGGCGGACGGGUGAGUAACACGUGGGAACGUGCCCUUUGGUUCGGAACAACUCAGGGAAACUUGAGCUAAUACCGGAUGUGCCCUUCGGGGGAAAGAUUUAUCGCCAUUGGAGCGGCCCGCGUCUGAUUAGCUAGUUGGUGAGGUAACGGCCCACCAAGGCGACGAUCAGUAGCUGGUCUGAGAGGAUGAUCAGCCACACUGGGACUGAGACACGGCCCAGACCCCUACGGGAGGCAGCAGUGGGGAAUCUUGCGCAAUGGGCGAAAGCCUGACGCAGCCAUGCCGCGUGAAUGAUGAAGGUCUUAGGAUUGUAAAAUUCUUUCAGCAGGGACGAUAAUGACGGUACCCGCAGAAGAAGCUCCGGCUAACUUCGUG
Molecule: ribosomal RNA, 433 nt
Filed under: uncultured bacterium
Lineage: Bacteria
Description: partial 16S ribosomal RNA
Rfam family: Bacterial small subunit ribosomal RNA
Source: RNAcentral